RNAcentral lists this ribosomal RNA (1901 nucleotides) under human gut metagenome. RNAcentral's name for it is "bacterial LSU rRNA". It matches the Rfam family "Bacterial large subunit ribosomal RNA", at positions 3 to 1963 of the family's 2925-position model. The record is from RNAcentral.
UCAAGAAACAAAGAGCACAGGGUGAAUGCCUUGGCACUGGGAGCCGAAGAAGGACGCGACAAGCUGCGAAAAGCCACGUUUAGGAGCACAUAUCCGUUGAGACGUGGGUGUCCGAAUGGGGAAACCCGGCGGUCAGAAGGGCCGUCACCGUUAAGUGAAUUCAUAGCUUAGCGGAGGGAACCCGGGGAACUGAAACAUCUUAGUACCCGGAGGAAAAGAAAGAAACAUCGAUUCCUUAAGUAGCGGCGAGCGAACGAGGAAGAGCCCAGAAUCCAACAAUCAUUUCCGUUUAGCAGAAGGGCAUGGGAAGGCCCCGCAAAGAGCGUAAGACGCGCGUAUGCGAAAAGCCGAGAUGAGGAGAUUCGACGAGUACCACGGGACACGUGAAACCCUGUGGGAAGAUGGGGGGCCCACCCCCCAAGGCUAAAUACUACCCAGUGACCGAUAGCGGAAAGUACCGUGAGGGAAAGGUGAAAAGAACCCCGGGAGGGGAGUGAAAUAGAAACUGAAACCCUGUGCUUACAAGCAGCUGGAGCGCAAGUGACAGUGUGCUUUUUGUAGAACGGGCCAACGAGUUACGGUAUGUAGCGAGGUUAAGCACUUCAGGUGCGGAGCCGAAGCGAAAGCGAGUCUGAAUAGGGCGCCAUAGUUGCAUGCUGUAGACCCGAAACCGUGUGAUCUAUCCAUGACCAGGGUGAAGCUUGGGUAAAACCAAGUGGAGGCCCGAACCAGUGUCUGUUGAAAAAGGCUUGGAUGAGUUGUGGAUAGGGGUGAAAUUCCAAUCGAACACGGAGAUAGCUGGUUCUCCCCGAAAUAGCUUUAGGGCUAGCGUUCUGUGAUGAAUGACGGAGGUAGAGCACUGAAUUGGGUAGGGGGCGUCAAGCUUACCGAACCAUAUCAAACUCCGAAUGCCGUCCAUUUUAACAGGGCAGUCAGACAGUGGGAGAUAAGUUUCAUUGUCAAAAGGGAAACAGCCCAGACCAUCCGCUAAGGUCCCCAAGUACUGAUUAAGUGGGAAAGGAUGUGUCACUGCACAAACAACCAGGAUGUUGGCUUAGAAGCAGCCAUACAUUUAAAGAGUGCGUAAUAGCUCACUGGUCGAGUGGUGGUGCGCCGAAAAUGAACGGGGCUAAAAUCAGGCACCGAAGCGAUGGAUUGUACCGCAAGGUACAGUGGUAGGGGAGCAAUCUCUUAGGGGCGAAGCCAUUUCGUAAGGGAUGGUGGACUUAAGAGAAGAGAGAAUGUUGGCAUGAGUAGCGAAAGUGAAGUGAGAAUCUUCACCAUCGAAAGCCCAAGGUUUCCUGAGGAAGGCUCGUCCGCUCAGGGUUAGUCGGGGCCUAAGCCGAGGUCAAAAGACGUAGGCGAUGGACAACUGGUUGAAAUUCCAGUACUACCUCAAAGCGUUUGAGAAAUGGAGUGACACAGAAGGAUAAGCGAACCCGGCCGUUGGAAGAGCCGGGGCAAGCAGUAAGGCUGCAGCGGGAGGCAAAUCCCCCAUUGCAAAAGGCUAAGCUGUGAUGCGGAACGAAAAAUAAGUAGGGAAGUCGCCGAUUUCACGCUGUCAAGAAAAGCUUCUAUCGAGCUGCGAGGUACCCGUACCGUAAACCGACACAGGUAGGCGAGGAGAGAAUCCUAAGAUGAGCGGGAGAAGUGUUGUUAAGGAACUCGGCAAAAUGACUCCGUAACUUCGGGAGAAGGAGUGCCCCUUCGGGGGCCGCAGAGAAGAGGCUCAAGCGACUGUUUAGCAAAAACACAGGUCUCUGCUAAAUCGAAAGAUGACGUAUAGGGGCUGACGCCUGCCCGGUGCUGGAAGGUUAAGGGGAGUGCUUAGCGUAAGCGAAGGUGCGAACUUAAGCCCCAGUAAACGGCGGCCGUAACUAUAACGGUCCUAAGGUAGCGAA